RNAcentral lists this transfer RNA (76 nucleotides) under Nitrospirae bacterium RIFCSPHIGHO2_02_FULL_42_12. RNAcentral describes it as "tRNA-Thr". It matches the Rfam family "tRNA". From Rfam's summary of the family: Transfer RNA (tRNA) molecules are approximately 80 nucleotides in length. Lineage: Bacteria; Pseudomonadati; Nitrospirota. RNAcentral also lists the same sequence under 2 other names. The record is from RNAcentral.
GCUGGCGUAGCUCAGUCGGUAGAGCGGCUGAUUUGUAAUCAGCUGGUCGGGGGUUCGAGUCCCUUCGCCAGCUCCA